This 454-nucleotide ribosomal RNA is filed under the name uncultured bacterium. RNAcentral's name for it is "bacterial SSU rRNA". It matches the Rfam family "Bacterial small subunit ribosomal RNA", at positions 29 to 506 of the family's 1533-position model. The record is from RNAcentral.
AUGAACGCUGGCGGCGUGUCUUAGGCAUGCAAGUCGAACGAUCAGAAUUUAUUCUGAUAGUGGCAGACGGGUGAGUACGACAGUGGUAACUUACCUCGGAGUCUUGAAUAACUUUGCGAAAGCGAAGCUAAUACAGGAUGGUCAAGGGGGGACAUAUGUUAUUCCCUUGUAAAGAAUUUCGCUCCGAGAGAGGCCUUUGGCCUAUCAGCUUGUUGGUGAGGUAAAAGCUCACCAAGGCUAUGACGGGUAGCGGGUGUGAGAGCAUGACCCGCCUCACUGGGACUGAAACACUGCCCAGACUCCUACGGGAGGCUGCAGUCGAGAAUCUUCCACAAUGCACGAAAGUGUGAUGGAGCGACGCCGCGUGCACGAAGAAGCUCUUCGGAGUGUAAAGUGCUUUUAUUAGGGAAAAACUAGCGAUGGUACCUAAUGAAUAAGAGGUUGCUAACUACGU